GAGUUUGAUCAUGGCUCAGGACGAACGCUGGCGGCGUGCUUAACACAGCAAGUGGUGCGACGAACCAGGGCUUGCCCUGGGGCAAAGCCGCGAACGGGUGAGUAACACGUGAGUAACCUGCCCCGAUGACUGGGACAACCCGAGGAAACUCGGGCUAAUACCGGAUGUGGUGCACACACAUAAGUGUGUUCACUAAAGGAAGCUUCGGCCUCCGCAUUGGGAGGGGCUCGCGGCCCAUUAGCUUGUUGGUGGGGUCAAGGCCUACCAAGGCGACGAUGGGUAGCUGGUCUGAGAGGACGAUCAGCCACACUGGGACUGAGACACGGCCCAGACUCCUACGGGAGGCAGCAGUGGGGAAUCUUGCGCAAUGCGCGAAAGCGUGACGCAGCAACGCCGCGUGGGGGAAGACGGCCUUCGGGUUGUAAACCCCUUUCAGGAGGGACGAAGGUUCGGCGGUGAAUAGCCGUCCGGAUUGACGGUACCCGCAGAGGAAGCCCCGGCUAACUCCGUGCCAGCAGCCGCGGUAAUACG
RNAcentral lists this ribosomal RNA (531 nucleotides) under uncultured bacterium. Its description in RNAcentral is "bacterial SSU rRNA". It matches the Rfam family "Bacterial small subunit ribosomal RNA", at positions 9 to 527 of the family's 1533-position model. The record is from RNAcentral.